CCUACGGGAGGCAGCAGUGGGGAAUAUUGCACAACGGGCGCAAGCCUGAUGCAGCCAUGCCGCGUGUAUAAAGAAGGCCUUAGGGUUGUAAAGUACUUUCAGUUGGGAGGAAGGCGUUGAUGCUAAUAUCAUCAACGAUUGACGUUACCAACAGAAGAAGCACCGGCUAACUCCGUGCCAGCAGCCGCGGUAAUACGGAGGGUGCAAGCGUUAAUCGGAAUUACUGGGCGUAAAGCGCACGCAGGCGGUUGAUUAAGUUAGAUGUGAAAUCCCCGGGCUUAACCUGGGAAUGGCAUCUAAGACUGGUCAGCUAGGGUCUUGUAGAGGGGGGUAGAAUUCCAUGUGUAGCGGUGAAAUGCGUAGAGAUGUGGAGGAAUACCGGUGGCGAAGGCGGCCCCCUGGACAAAGACUGACGCUCAGGUGCGAAAGCGUGGGGAGCAAACAGGAUUAGAUACCCUCGUAGUC
Molecule: ribosomal RNA, 465 nt
Filed under: uncultured bacterium
Lineage: Bacteria
Description: bacterial SSU rRNA
Rfam family: Bacterial small subunit ribosomal RNA
Source: RNAcentral